CACGGGGGGAGCGAGCGUUGUUCGGAAUCACUGGGCGUAAAGGGCGCGUAGGCGGCCCUCUUAGUCGCGUGUGAAAGCCCCGGGCUCAACCUGGGAACGGCGCGCGAAACGGGAGGGCUGGAGUUCGGGAGAGGAGAGUGGAAUUCCCAGUGUAGAGGUGAAAUUCGUAGAUAUUGGGAAGAACACCGGUGGCGAAGGCGGCUCUCUGGACCGAGACUGACGCUGAGGCGCGAAAGCGUGGGGAGCGAACAGG
Molecule: ribosomal RNA, 253 nt
Filed under: uncultured bacterium
Lineage: Bacteria
Description: partial 16S ribosomal RNA
Rfam family: Bacterial small subunit ribosomal RNA
Source: RNAcentral